Molecule: ribosomal RNA, 395 nt
Filed under: uncultured bacterium
Lineage: Bacteria
Description: bacterial SSU rRNA
Rfam family: Bacterial small subunit ribosomal RNA
Source: RNAcentral
AGAGUUUGAUCCUGGCUCAGAACGAACGCUGGCGGCAUGCCUAACACAUGCAAGUCGAACGCUUCUCUUCGGAGAGGAGUGGCGCACGGGUGAGUAACGCGUGGGAACCUGCCUUGGAGUGGGGGAUAACCGAUGGAAACGUCGGCUAAUACCGCAUACGUCCUGAGGGAGAAAGAUUUAUCGCUCUGAGAGGGGCCCGCGUCGGAUUAGCUAGUUGGUGGGGUAACGGCCUACCAAGGCGAUGAUCCGUAGCUGGUCUGAGAGGAUGAUCAGCCACACUGGGACUGAGACACGGCCCAGACUCCUACGGGAGGCAGCAGUGGGGAAUAUUGGACAAUGGGCGCAAGCCUGAUCCAGCAAUGCCGCGUGAGUGAUGACGGCCUUAGGGUUGUAAA